RNAcentral lists this ribosomal RNA (301 nucleotides) under uncultured bacterium. Its description in RNAcentral is "partial 16S ribosomal RNA". It matches the Rfam family "Bacterial small subunit ribosomal RNA", at positions 509 to 808 of the family's 1533-position model. The record is from RNAcentral.
CAGCACCGCGGGAAUACGUAGGUGGCAAGCGUUAUCCGGAAUUAUUGGGCGUAAAGCGCGCGUAGGCGGUUUUUUAAGUCUGAUGUGAAAGCCCACGGCUCAACCGUGGAGGGUCAUUGGAAACUGGAAAACUUGAGUGCAGAAGAGGAAAGUGGAAUUCCAUGUGUAGCGGUGAAAUGCGCAGAGAUAUGGAGGAACACCAGUGGCGAAGGCGACUUUCUGGUCUGUAACUGACGCUGAUGUGCGAAAGCGUGGGGAUCAAACAGGAUUAGAUACCCGAGUAGUCCCUGUCUCUUAUACA